UCCGGCACGGACGCCGGAAAAACCGUAGGUAAUCGACGUUUUUGCAAAGCCGGGAGGAUUUGCAAAAACUCGCGUUAAAAAUCGGACAGGGAAGUCCGAUUUUUAAACCCUU
This 112-nucleotide small RNA is filed under the name Treponema maltophilum ATCC 51939. RNAcentral describes it as "TD-2 RNA". It matches the Rfam family "TD-2 RNA". From Rfam's summary of the family: non coding RNA found in Treponema denticola Lineage: Bacteria; Pseudomonadati; Spirochaetota; Spirochaetia; Treponematales; Treponemataceae. The record is from Rfam by way of RNAcentral.